Non-coding RNA from Camellia sinensis, 701 nucleotides. The record is from RefSeq and is a predicted model, not a curated record. NCBI's taxonomy places the organism in Eukaryota, Viridiplantae, Streptophyta, Magnoliopsida, Ericales, Theaceae.
UGCGAUUCGUAAGGGCGUGUUUGGCCCUUCCUAUUUGUGGAAAGCUUUUAUAUAUGCAUAUAUGCCUUAUGAGUUGUUGAACUCAUCUAUUUUGAACCAAACAAAAAAAUAAAAAUAUCUAGAGAAAGGGGAAGGAGAACCGUGAGAGGGAGAGAGGGAGAGAGAGAAGAGGCAAAGCUUCUCCCUAAGGAAUUCAACAUCCAUGGAAGCUUGAAGAUGGUUGAAGAAGAUAGAAGAGAGAGGAAAGAUCAACCAAAAGCUUGGGAAAAAUUGAAGAGACUAAGGGAUAAACAAAGGUUUGGGUAAGGUCGAGACGAUGACAUUGUACCAUUACCACCGGGAACCGAUCACUGUAACCAACCAAGUGGUCAGUCCUAGUCAUGGCACCCGUUUUCUUUUAUCAACCUUCGUGGGUUCAGGCACUGCACGAAGCCAUUUAUUUUUGUAAAGUCUAUUGGAAUGUUGGCUUAAUUUUGAUUACCCAUUUAAAGUUAAAGAGGUAGAACUUCAAUGAUUUUUUUUUUAUAUAAGCCCAAUGAUGGGGCUGGAUCUGUACAUAUGGUUGUUUAUCACCGAUGCUACAACAUAUGGUUUGGAGCUUUAUCUAUUUUCCAUGAUGAAUGUGAUGUAUAAGAGGUCCUGGCAUGUAGAUGUAGCUCAAUGGAAUUUAUAUGUAUAGUUAUUUUCCUACUUUAUGCUUC